GGUUAAGCGACUAAGCGUACACGGUGGAUGCCCUGGCAGUCAGAGGCGAUGAAGGGCGUGCUAAUCUGCGAUAAGCGCCGGUAAGGUGAUAUGAACCGUUAUAACCGGCGAUACCCGAAUGGGGAAACCCAGUGUGAUUCGUCACACUAUCAUUAACUGAAUCCAUAGGUUAAUGAGGCGAACCGGGGGAACUGAAACAUCUAAGUACCCCGAGGAAAAGAAAUCAACCGAGAUUCCCCCAGUAGCGGCGAGCGAACGGGGAGGAGCCCAGAGCCUGAAUCAGCAUGUGUGUUAGUGGAAGCGUCUGGAAAGGCGCGCGAUACAGGGUGACAGCCCCGUACACAAAAGCGCAUGUGCUGUGAGCUCGAUGAGUAGGGCGGGACACGUGGUAUCCUGUCUGAAUAUGGGGGGACCAUCCUCCAAGGCUAAAUACUCCUGACUGACCGAUAGUGAACCAGUACCGUGAGGGAAAGGCGAAAAGAACCCCGGCGAGGGGAGUGAAAAAGAACCUGAAACCGUGUACGUACAAGCAGUGGGAGCCCCACCACUAAGCCAGUGGUGAACUCCACAUACGCAUCCUUUGCUGAGGAUACGGUUAACGGAGCGAAAGCGACGUUCAACCUCAAAAGAAGCAGAGGGGGCUUAGUGGUGGGGUGACUGCGUACCUUUUGUAUAAUGGGUCAGCGACUUAUAUUCUGUAGCAAGGUUAACCGAAUAGGGGAGCCGGAGGGAAACCGAGUCUUAACUGGGCGUUAAGUUGCAGGGUAUAGACCCGAAACCCGGUGAUCUAGCCAUGGGCAGGUUGAAGGUUGGGUAACACUAACUGGAGGACCGAACCGACUAAUGUUGAAAAAUUAGCGGAUGACCUGUGGCUGGGGGUGAAAGGCCAAUCAAACCGGGAGAUAGCUGGUUCUCCCCGAAAGCUAUUUAGGUAGCGCCUCGUGAAUUCAUCUCCGGGGGUAGAGCACUGUUUCGGCUAGGGGGCCAUCCCGGCUUACCAACCCGAUGCAAACUGCGAAUACCGGAGAAUGUUAUCACGGGAGACACACGGCGGGUGCUAACGUCCGUCGUGAAGAGGGAAACAACCCAGACCGCCAGCUAAGGUCCCAAAGUCAUGGUUAAGUGGGAAACGAUGUGGGAAGGCCCAGACAGCCAGGAUGUUGGCUUAGAAGCAGCCAUCAUUUAAAGAAAGCGUAAUAGCUCACUGGUCGAGUCGGCCUGCGCGGAAGAUGUAACGGGGCUAAACCAUGCACCGAAGCUGCGGCAGCGAACGUAUCACCCAAGACAACUUUACGGAGUUGACGAUUGACGGAGCGAAGCGACGUCAAAGCGUUCAUUAAAGUCGAGUUGGCUUAGGGAUACGUUCGUUGGGUAGGGGAGCGUUCUGUAAGCCUGUGAAGGUGGCCUGUGAGGGUUGCUGGAGGUAUCAGAAGUGCGAAUGCUGACAUAAGUAACGAUAAAGCGGGUGAAAAGCCCGCUCGCCGGAAGACCAAGGGUUCCUGUCCAACGUUAAUCGGGGCAGGGUGAGUCGACCCCUAAGGCGAGGCCGAAAGGCGUAGUCGAUGGGAAACGGGUUAAUAUUCCCGUACUUGGUGUUACUGCGAAGGGGGGACGGAGAAGGCUAUGUUGGCCGGGCGACGGUUGUCCCGGUUUAAGCGUGUAGGCUGGUUUUCCAGGCAAAUCCGGAAAAUCAAGGCUGAGGCGUGACGACGAGGCACUACGGUGCUGAAGCAACAAAUGCCCUGCUUCCAGGAAAAGCCUCUAAGCAUCAGGUAACAUCAAAUCGUACCCCAAACCGACACAGGUGGUCAGGUAGAGAAUACCAAGGCGCUUGAGAGAACUCGGGUGAAGGAACUAGGCAAAAUGGUGCCGUAACUUCGGGAGAAGGCACGCUGACACGUAGGUGAAGUGAUUUACUCAUGGAGCUGAAGUCAGUCGAAGAUACCAGCUGGCUGCAACUGUUUAUUAAAAACACAGCACUGUGCAAACACGAAAGUGGACGUAUACGGUGUGACGCCUGCCCGGUGCCGGAAGGUUAAUUGAUGGGGUCAGCGCAAGCGAAGCUCCUGAUCGAAGCCCCGGUAAACGGCGGCCGUAACUAUAACGGUCCUAAGGUAGCGAAAUUCCUUGUCGGGUAAGUUCCGACCUGCACGAAUGGCGUAAUGAUGGCCAGGCUGUCUCCACCCGAGACUCAGUGAAAUUGAACUCGCUGUGAAGAUGCAGUGUACCCGCGGCAAGACGGAAAGACCCCGUGAACCUUUACUAUAGCUUGACACUGAACAUUGAGCCUUGAUGUGUAGGAUAGGUGGGAGGCUUUGAAGUGUGGACGCCAGUCUGCAUGGAGCCGACCUUGAAAUACCACCCUUUAAUGUUUGAUGUUCUAACGUGGACCCGUAAUCCGGGUUGCGGACAGUGUCUGGUGGGUAGUUUGACUGGGGCGGUCUCCUCCUAAAGAGUAACGGAGGAGCACGAAGGUUGGCUAAUCCUGGUCGGACAUCAGGAGGUUAGUGCAAUGGCAUAAGCCAGCUUGACUGCGAGCGUGACGGCGCGAGCAGGUGCGAAAGCAGGUCAUAGUGAUCCGGUGGUUCUGAAUGGAAGGGCCAUCGCUCAACGGAUAAAAGGUACUCCGGGGAUAACAGGCUGAUACCGCCCAAGAGUUCAUAUCGACGGCGGUGUUUGGCACCUCGAUGUCGGCUCAUCACAUCCUGGGGCUGAAGUAGGUCCCAAGGGUAUGGCUGUUCGCCAUUUAAAGUGGUACGCGAGCUGGGUUUAGAACGUCGUGAGACAGUUCGGUCCCUAUCUGCCGUGGGCGCUGGAGAACUGAGGGGGGCUGCUCCUAGUACGAGAGGACCGGAGUGGACGCAUCACUGGUGUUCGGGUUGUCAUGCCAAUGGCACUGCCCGGUAGCUAAAUGCGGAAGAGAUAAGUGCUGAAAGCAUCUAAGCACGAAACUUGCCCCGAGAUGAGUUCUCCCUGAGACUUAGAGUCUCCUGAAGGAACGUUGAAGACGACGACGUUGAUAGGCCGGGUGUGUAAGCGCAGCGAUGCGUUGAGCUAACCGGUACUAAUGAACCGUGAGGCUUAACCUU
RNAcentral lists this ribosomal RNA (3089 nucleotides) under Salmonella enterica subsp. enterica serovar Mbandaka. RNAcentral's name for it is "23S ribosomal RNA". It matches the Rfam family "Bacterial large subunit ribosomal RNA". Lineage: Bacteria; Pseudomonadati; Pseudomonadota; Gammaproteobacteria; Enterobacterales; Enterobacteriaceae. The record is from RNAcentral.